ACUCAAAUGAAUUGACGGGGGCCCGCACAAGCGGUGGAGCAUGUGGUUUAAUUCGACGCAACGCGCAGAACCUUACCAGGGUUUGACAUCCUGAGACCGCUCCUGAAAGGGAGUUUUCCCGCAAGGGACUCAGAGACAGGUGCUGCAUGGCUGUCGUCAGCUCGUGUCGUGAGAUGUUGGGUUAAGUCCCGCAACGAGCGCAACCCUCGCCUUUAGUUGCCAUCAUUAAGUUGGGCACUCUAGAGGGACCGCCGGCGACAAGCCGGAGGAAGGUGGGGAUGACGUCAAGUCCUCAUGGCCCUUACACCCUGGGCUACACACGUGCUACAAUGGCGGUGACAGUGAGCAGCUAGUUCGCGAGAACGUGCUAAUCUCUAAAAACCGUCCCAGUUCAGAUUGCACUCUGCAACUCGAGUGCAUGAAGGUGGAAUCGCUAGUAAUCGCAGAACAGCAGGCUGCGGUGAAUACGUUCCCGGGCCUUGUACACACCGCCCGU
Molecule: ribosomal RNA, 496 nt
Filed under: uncultured bacterium
Lineage: Bacteria
Description: partial 16S ribosomal RNA
Rfam family: Bacterial small subunit ribosomal RNA
Source: RNAcentral